GCCCGGGUGGCGAAAUGGCAGCCGCAGCGGAUUCAAAAUCCGCCGCCCCUUAAAGGCAUGAAGGUUCGAGUCCUUUCCCGGGCA
Molecule: transfer RNA, 84 nt
Filed under: Opitutia bacterium
Lineage: Bacteria; Pseudomonadati; Verrucomicrobiota; Opitutia
Also listed under: 2 other names
Description: Opitutae bacterium tRNA-Leu
Rfam family: tRNA
About the family: Transfer RNA (tRNA) molecules are approximately 80 nucleotides in length. Their secondary structure includes four short double-helical elements and three loops (D, anti-codon, and T loops). Further hydrogen bonds mediate the characteristic L-shaped molecular structure. tRNAs have two regions of fundamental functional importance: the anti-codon, which is responsible for specific mRNA codon recognition, and the 3' end, to which the tRNAs corresponding amino acid is attached (by aminoacyl-tRNA synthetases). tRNAs cope with the degeneracy of the genetic code in two manners: having more than one tRNA (with a specific anti-codon) for a particular amino acid; and 'wobble' base-pairing, i.e. permitting non-standard base-pairing at the 3rd anti-codon position.
Source: RNAcentral